RNAcentral lists this transfer RNA (87 nucleotides) under Bacillota bacterium. Its description in RNAcentral is "tRNA-Ser". It matches the Rfam family "tRNA". Rfam says of the family: Transfer RNA (tRNA) molecules are approximately 80 nucleotides in length. Their secondary structure includes four short double-helical elements and three loops (D, anti-codon, and T loops). Lineage: Bacteria; Bacillati; Bacillota. The record is from RNAcentral.
GGAAGGGUCGCAUAGAGGCCGAGUGCGAAGGUCUUGAAAACCUUUAGGGUGGCAACACCCUCGUGGGUUCGAAUCCCACCCCUUCCG